This 612-nucleotide ribosomal RNA is filed under the name Haloplanus sp. LpH2. RNAcentral describes it as "bacterial SSU rRNA". It matches the Rfam family "Archaeal small subunit ribosomal RNA", at positions 375 to 985 of the family's 1478-position model. The record is from RNAcentral. Lineage: Archaea; Methanobacteriati; Methanobacteriota; Halobacteria; Halobacteriales; Haloferacaceae.
GGGACCCCGAGUGCGAGGGCAUACAGUCCUCGCUUUUCACCACCGUAAGGUGGUGGUGGAAUAAGAGCUGGGCAAGACCGGUGCCAGCCGCCGCGGUAAUACCGGCAGCUCGAGUGAUGGCCGAUUUUAUUGGGCCUAAAGCGUCCGUAGCCGGCCACACAAGUCCAUCGGGAAAUCCGCCAGCCCAACUGGCGGGCGUCCGGUGGAAACUGUGUGGCUUGGGACCGGAAGACCCAACAGGUACGUCUUGGGUAGGAGUGAAAUCCCGUAAUCCUGGACGGACCACCGAUAGCGAAAGCAUGUUGGGAAGACGGAUCCGACGGUGAGGGACGAAAGCCAGGGUCUCGAACCGGAUUAGAUACCCGGGUAGUCCUGGCCGUAAACGAUGUCUGCUAGGUGUGGCUCCCACUACGAGUGGGUGCUGUGCCGUAGGGAAGCCGCUAAGCAGACCGCCUGGGAAGUACGUCCGCAAGGAUGAAACUUAAAGGAAUUGGCGGGGGAGCACUACAACCGGAGGAGCCUGCGGUUUAAUUGGACUCAACGCCGGACAUCUCACCAGCAUCGACAACAGCAAUGACGGUCAGGUUGAUGACCUUGCCAGAGCUGUUGAGA